UACGAGAGGCCCAAACGUUAUUCGGAAUUACUGGGCUUAAAGAGUUCGUAGGCGGCAUGAAAAGUAGGGUGUGAAAGCCCUCGGCUCAACCGAGGAAUAGCGCUCUAAACUGUCGUGCUAGAGGAAGCUAGAGGUGAGCGGAACUGAUGGUGGAGCGGUGAAAUGCGUUGAUAUCAUCAGGAACACCGGAGGCGAAGGCGGCUCACUGGUCCAUUACUGACGCUGAGGUGCGAAAGCGUGGGGAGCAAACAGG
This 253-nucleotide ribosomal RNA is filed under the name uncultured bacterium. Its description in RNAcentral is "partial 16S ribosomal RNA". It matches the Rfam family "Bacterial small subunit ribosomal RNA", at positions 524 to 776 of the family's 1533-position model. The record is from RNAcentral.